Molecule: long non-coding RNA, 3904 nt
Filed under: Homo sapiens (human)
Lineage: Eukaryota; Metazoa; Chordata; Mammalia; Primates; Hominidae
Description: HSALNT0109149
Source: RNAcentral
GUUUAUAGGCAGAGGUCACUACAGAGUCAACCAUCGUGGUUUCUGACAAGCCUUUUCCAGCUCUGCAGUCCAGAGAUCCUGAACACGAUCAUCUUCUCUAUGCUGAAUGGCCAUCCGCAAAAUCUCCAACCUAAGAGACGGUUUCAUCUACUUCCAGGCAAAACUGACAAUGUGAAAAUACCGGAGUCACUGAGCAAAUUCACUCCAGCCUGUGCUGACUGAGACUUACAUCUUACAAUUAAGCAGUGUUUUGUCCUGCCUUACAAAUCAGUAGUUUCCUUAUUGCUUAACAUAAAUACAUCUUAUCAAAAGGAAAAACAAAAUCUUCAUAAAAUAAUAAAACUAUAUAAUGCUACUUGAUACUGCUCUAUCACAAUUUGAGAAUAUCAAACAUGAAUUGAGUAAUCAUCAUUUAUGGGAAAGGAGAAGUGAUUUGAAAUAGUGAUAUUGCCUGGCCCUUCAAUUUAUAAAGUCACAAUGUAAGAAGAAAUGGCGAAAUACAGAAGGAAAUUGAGUUACAGACUAACCCAGGAGGCUGACAAGUAAAAUCCAGAGCGUUCUGGGUUCUGUGCUGCUUCCAUGUCCUCAAGGGAGCACAUCACUCUCACUGUAGUAGACACUACUAUACAGUACCCAUUCUCCCCUUCUUUCUUACUUUAGGGGAAGCAGUUGUGUUCAGGUUAAACACACACCACCACCACCAUUUUCUGGCUUUACUUGUAACUCCAGAUGUCCAUGUGACACAGUUGCGAUUUAAGAUGUAAGCGGUGUGUGAUAGGGUGGGUUCCUGGAAAACGUUGUUUAAAGGGAGUAAAUGUGGCCAGCCCGUGCCUCUUUCCCUUCAUCCUUUUCCUCCUUUCCUGAAGACACCGUGUUGGGAAAUAGAGGAGCCAUCUUACAAUCAUGAGGAAGAGUAGCUGAACUAAGGGUGUCAGGGCAAAAGAAAAAAGCCCUGUGUGUUUCAGCAGGUGUCAUUCUGAUCAUUUGAGCCCAACACAGUCUCUAAUUGACACACUCAUCUCUGUAAAUGAGGAACCUCCUGGAAACUGACCAGAGUCACACACGAUACGUAAAAGAGCCAUGAUUCAAGUCCACGUCUAUUUUCCAGGCGCCCAUUCUUUUUCUUCUUUGUCCCUACUGUUUGCCUCUGCUUCCUCAGUUGAGACCUAGAACUUAUGGUGUUUUCUAGUAGCUCACAACUCCUGGUAAAAGUUCCUGAAAAUGAUUCAUUUCACAAUACUAAAUGACAGACUUAACCUCCUGUUUGAUCUUGUCAUGCCAAAGUGAGUUCAAAGGUAUUCUUUGAACUAGUCCUCAUUGAAACAUUGAAGGAAAUUCAGAGCAAGCUUCCUAAAGAACAGGGCAUUAGUACUGGGCUGUGAAGGUUUCAGGGAUUUCGACCACUGAGGUCAUAGAAGGAAAGGCAUUUCAAGCAAAGAGGACACUUUGAGUGAAAGCAUAAAGAAGGUCAACCCCAGUUUGGCAGGAGCAAAGGAUACGUAAAGAGCUAUACUCACUUUUUUAAAGUUUUUAUGCACUAAAUAUUUCCAAAAAUGAUUCUGGAGGUGACAUACAGUAAACAAUGGAAAUUCAAUAAAACCGCAAAACCAAAAUAAAAAUGGGAAUUAUUUAUAGUGCUGAAUAAUAAACCUGGUAGAAGAUACUAGUACCAGACAACCUAAACUAAGGAAAUCUUCAGCAGCUGAGUGCAAAACUGAAUUUAACUUUCCGGCAGCAAAAGCAAAAAAACAAGAAUGUAAUGUGUUGUAUUGUAGCAUCAAUAAAUGGCAGAAACAGUUUUCCAAGAAUUGAAAGCACUUACUGAGUAUCAAUUACACUGUAGGUUAUUUUUAAUCUAUGUGCAGAACUGCAAGCCUGGGAAUUUUGUUCAAUGCAGUGAGGCUAAAUAGACAGGAAAGGUUGAAAACUACUGUACUAGGAGAUGGAGGUACAAAGAGGAAUAAGACACAGAACCUGCCUUCUAGAAAUUUCUAAUCCUAGAUGAGGGAGAUGAAGAAAUGAAGGCUUAUUGGGUACAAACUAUGUAAUGGGCAUCUUUAAUCUCAUUAAGUCUUAGUAAAUCCUCAACACAUCGCCUCAAGAGUAGCUGUUAUUUAUUAAUUGUCCCACUGGCAGAUAGGAAAACUAAGUUGUUGAGAGGUAGAGUGCAUGGCCAAUGGCACAAAGCUAGUAAGAGAUGGAAUCAAAAAUUAAUCUCAGAACCAUUUGAUGCCUUAAAUCACAUGCUCUUGACCCAGAAGUUUCUAAGUGUAAGAAUAGCAAAUGAAUCUUUUUCUUUUCAGGUGGGGGUACACACUCUUGUCCUAGUGUCUUCUCCCAAGUCCCUUUCCAUGCGGGGCGAUCCCCAGAGACCCCAGCUUGUGCAAUUUAGAUCCACAGGGCCAAAUGAUGUCUCUCUCCAAAUUUAGAUUUUCCUGGCUCUGAUUGCUGAGGUUAUCCCAUGCAGAACAUCACAGUCAGAGGAUUAUAGAUAACACUAUAAUGGGUUCCUCUUCAGCAUCACUGUAAUCAUCAGUGUAGAUUCCUUCUUUACAUGGUCAUUCUUCCACUGACACGCCUAAAAGCCAAGGACGCACUGCUAAAUUGUAAAGCUUUCAAAGCACUUAUUUGGAGAUCUCAGGUUAUGUAAGGUUUAGAUAGUCUGGUGCAAACUGGAGGAAAGUUAGGCAUAUAAUUAGCAUGUUCAAGAAUCUGUAUUAAUUUUUCAUUGAAUACGUAUGUUUUCAGGAUAUGGAAAGUGAAAGUGUUGAUAUUAGAAUCACUAAGAAUAAGCUGAAGGUAUCCUAGAGCUGAUUUAAAGUAGUUCCAAGCUAAAGAUUCUAGGCUUGUAGGAAGGAAGGCUGACAUUUAGGAGUAAAAAUCAGAGAAUCUGAUUUGUUUUCUAGCUAUAUCACAGGUUUGCAUGAUUGAGCAUGACUCAAGUGGUUUUCCAAAUGUCUGAGUUAUAAUACAUGAAUAAGAUGAACUGGGCCUGGAGAUUUUGAGGCUAGGAGUUACACAUUAUGUCCCUCCAUCAUCAAAGACUCCUGGAAUACAGUGUGGUUUUAGAUUAAUUCGUGUAUUCCCAGGCUCUACUCUGAUCCUGGGUCUUCAUAUAAGAAGGAAUCAUAACACAGGUCCCUUAUUUUUAAAAUCCUUUUGGAGAUUCACAUAGCCCUAGACAGGAAUUGGGAGGAUUUUUUGUUUGUUUGUUUUUUGGGGUUUUUUUUCCAGUUUUUUUUAAUUGGGAGUUUUAAAAACCUGCACAAAGGGAACAAGGCAUUCUUCUUAGUCUCAUUCUGAUAGAAGAAGAGUCAAGUAUUAAUCAAGUAUGAUCAGAAGUUCAGCUGCACAAACCAAAAUAAAGAAUCACAAAUCCUUGACUAGUAUCGGAUUCAAGCUUGUGGCACAGAGUCCAGGAGAGUAGGCUCUGGAAACCCCCACCUAUUUGCUGCUCAUGAAGGGCAGCCAAAUACCCAGGGAUUGUGUUUGUCAGAAACCAUGGUCUUGAGUUCUGAGAUCUCCUGGUGGUUUAGCUUAUAGAUCUCCUGAAUUACUAAGACUGUUCAUUUUCUAUCUGGGGACUCUCAGUCUUUUUAUACAUUAAGUAUCUCUAUUAGGAGAAAUGACCUGGUACGAUGGUAUAUUAGGAGGAAGGUUUCACCUGAGACAGAGAGACUAUGUAGGCAGCUAUUGCAAGGGUUCAAAGGAAAAUAAUAAGGAACCGAAUUAGGGUUGGGAAAUAAAAACAAGGAUGAGAAAGAGAUAAAAUAGAGUUAUCAGUGGGUUUGGCAUAAGAAAGGAGCUUGGUGGAGAGAAAUUCUUAAGAAAUCACAGGACUCAUAAUACCUAUACCAAUUGUGGAAAAUUGUUAAAAUUCAACAGAAUAAAAGACUUUAUGGAC